Molecule: long non-coding RNA, 952 nt
Organism: Drosophila virilis
Lineage: Eukaryota; Metazoa; Arthropoda; Insecta; Diptera; Drosophilidae
Source: RefSeq, a predicted model, not a curated record
GGCAGCAAGAAUAGUUGAAGUUAUGCGAAUAGUUGAAAGUUAAACUUUUAUUUCUGUGCAUAAACUGGCGCAUUUGUCAGCUAAUUUAUAAAAUCGAAUUAAAAGAGAAAGCACAACGGAGAGGGAUCGAGAGAUAGAGAGGAGAGCUAGAUGCAGCUGGCGUCGAUAAAUUCAUUCUUUUGCCAAGAAAUAACUCAAUAAAAGGCAUUGAAUGACAAGAACUUGGCAAACUUUAAGAUAAGUAUAAAUGCCCUUAGAUUUCAAGACAAUAAAUUAAUAGGGGCAUUGCAAAAAGGGCCAGCAGAAAGAGACGAAAGAUGAGCAGAGCAGAGUAAGUGUAGAGCAGCCGAAGCCUGGCAAAAGCGCAGCAAGGAAUUUAAUUUCGAGCGUUGUCAUUAAAGGAAAUGCACAAACGAAACGAAAAGGAGCAGCAAUGCAGCAAAUGCAGCGGAGUGUGGGGGAGACUGAAUAAGCCAAAAGCCAAACGCAUUUCAAAUGCCAUUUUUGUGUCGGCAUCAGACAGCUCUCUCCGCUGUGUGUUAAAAAUGUCGCUUGGCCAAAACAAUUGUUGAUCCCCUGGGCAAAUACAGCUGACAGCCAAUGCAGCCGACGACAGCUUAGCUUAAAUCGUUUUGCUCUGCAUCAACUUCUUUGGCUCAUUGCCCCGUGUCUUGGGCUUUGAUUAAUUGAUAUUUUAGCAAUUGUGGGAUCGUCUGUGGCAUUGCGUUCCAUUCUUUUGUGUUGCGUGUCACAUUUGGCCAUUUAAUUGCUUGUUAGCAAACGUUGAAUGGCAAACAAAGUGUACACAAUGUCAUGGCAAACGUUUUCUGGCUUUCAGCUGCAAAUUAAACUCGUAUUUGUAUUUCGUGCUCAACUGCCAAACAAAUUGGACAUUUGCGUGCCCGAUUUCACGACGACAUAAAAUACAAAUAAGCAGGCAAAAUAGAAAAAA